Molecule: non-coding RNA, 23 nt
Filed under: Arabidopsis thaliana (thale cress)
Lineage: Eukaryota; Viridiplantae; Streptophyta; Magnoliopsida; Brassicales; Brassicaceae
Source: RNAcentral
UAAUAGUUGAUGAACGAAUUCAG